UACGGAGGAUGCGAGCGUUAUCCGGAAUUAUUGGGUUUAAAGGGUGCGUAGGCGGAAUGGUAAGUCAGCGGUGAAAUACUGCAGCUCAACUGUAGUUGUGCCGUUGAUACUGUCAUUCUUGAGUAUAGAUGAGGUAGGCGGAAUGAGUAGUGUAGCGGUGAAAUGCAUAGAUAUUACUCAGAACACCGAUUGCGAAGGCAGCUUACUAAACUAUAACUGACGCUGAAGCACGAAAGCGUGGGUAU
RNAcentral lists this ribosomal RNA (245 nucleotides) under uncultured Anaerophaga sp. RNAcentral's name for it is "partial 16S ribosomal RNA". It matches the Rfam family "Bacterial small subunit ribosomal RNA", at positions 524 to 768 of the family's 1533-position model. The record is from RNAcentral. Lineage: Bacteria; Pseudomonadati; Bacteroidota; Bacteroidia; Marinilabiliales; Marinilabiliaceae.